UGAACAAGAGUGAAUGUUUGCUGGGAGAGAGCACUGAGGACCCUGGCCAGGCAAGCUCUGUAAGAAACUCAAAGUACGACGUCCCUCGAGUCUAUGGAUGGAGCAGCACUACCUGCAGGGUCCUGAAUAAAUUCUCAGAGCUACAGCAGAGCUCAGAGGAUGGUGGUCACUCCAGAACUGCUCAUAGACAGAAAGAUUUGGCUACGUUUGCACGGUGCACGGCCACUGCCCGACAGCAUUAGUGGAAACUGCCUUUCCCCGGUGACCUUGCUGCUAAGCUGGAGACUGCCAGGGACUGUCACCUCCAAUGACACUGCUCAGAGGGUCCUUGUCAGAACAAUUACCACUGCACUUCCCUGGUGUGGGUCAUUGGCUGCACUCUGGAGAGCGAAAAGGCAACCAGUCUUACUCCUCACUUAACUAAACCAUGCCGAGAGAGAAAGAAGUGCCUCUCCUCUCUCCUCCCUGCUGUGAUCGGUGGCCGAAGGGCAGGGAACACCUUGGGCAGCAGGUGAGCAGCUGGACGGAGCUCGGGGGGGCCACGCGCUGCACCUCUUCCCCCUUCAGGACCCCGCAGCGUGGGCGAGCCUUAGGAACAACCAGGAGGAACCGUGAUUUAUUCUCCACUUUCAAGUGAUACCGUGAACCUUUUGAAGCAAAGUGAGGUGGUUAUUUUUUUGUUGUUUCCUUUUUUAUUUU
Molecule: long non-coding RNA, 699 nt
Filed under: Anas platyrhynchos platyrhynchos (common mallard)
Lineage: Eukaryota; Metazoa; Chordata; Aves; Anseriformes; Anatidae
Description: lncRNA (ENSAPLG00000020338.1)
Source: RNAcentral